GUCACCAUGACAAUCGUUGCUGUGUUUUGCUCCCAAAUCAUUCUCCAAAAGUCAUUCACUGUUUCUUCUUUUGGUCCUUGUGCAGCAAUGAACUUGUUUUUCUCUUGGUACCCAUUAAUGAAGGAGGCGUUAAUGUAGUCAGAGUCAGGAACCCCUUCAACAGGAGUCAGGUGAACCCUGGAAUGAUCAUAGGGCAAAAUGUUCACGUAGCGGUUCUUCUCCUUGUUCUCCUCCUUGGAAGCAGCUUCACAUGUGGCCUGAAUGGGACACGCUGGGAGAGCGUUGAACUCUUCUCGGAAGAGCUUGUUGUCAUCUGCCAUGCGGCGGUUGAUCUCCUCCUCCAGCUUGUCGACAGGCAGAGGUGGGUAUUUCCUGUUGGUGCUGGGGGACCUGGCGAGCAGCGGCAUGCUCUGGGGCUCUGCAUCAUCUGUCCGGCCAUUGGGCAGGCGGAA
This 452-nucleotide long non-coding RNA is filed under the name Gallus gallus (chicken). The record is from RNAcentral. Lineage: Eukaryota; Metazoa; Chordata; Aves; Galliformes; Phasianidae.